Molecule: ribosomal RNA, 948 nt
Filed under: Triticum aestivum (bread wheat)
Lineage: Eukaryota; Viridiplantae; Streptophyta; Magnoliopsida; Poales; Poaceae
Description: partial small subunit ribosomal RNA
Source: RNAcentral
AUGGCAGAGCUUAAAGCAGAGUGUGAGGAUGCCUGGAAGUGGCUUAAAUUUUUUCCAAAGGAGACUUGGUGUAGGUCUGCAAUGGAUUACAAUUGCAAAACUGAUCUUGUUGUCAACAACCUUAGUGAGCUUUUCAACAAAAUGAUCCUUGAUGUUAGGGCCAAACCAAUUAGGAGAAUGUUUGAAGGAAUUAGGACUAAGCAGAUGAUCAAAAGGCAGAAUACUAGGGAAAAAACAGAGAACAGCAGGUGGAUGAUCACACCCGACUAUUCAGAGAAACUAGAGGAGAAUAAGAAGUAUGCCAAAUUUUGUGAGGCACAUAAGGCUGGUCCUGACAUUUGGCAAGUGUCUAGUAAGGAAAAUCAGUACUAUGUGAACCUAGCUACUAACUCAUGUGACUGUAGGAGGUGGGACAUGACUGGUGUGACAUGCAGUCAUGCAAUAGCAGCAAUGAGCAAGAUUCACAUGCACCUAGAGGACUAUGUGCAUGAAUUUUUCAAAAAAACACUAUAUAUUGAAGCAUACAAAGACAUAGUGUACCAUGUCCCUGGUCCUGAAUUCUGGCCUAACACCCAUACUCAGGAUAUUGAACCCCCAGUGUUCAAAGAAAAACCAAGCAAGAAACAGACAACUAGGAGAAAGGGCCAGUUUGAGGUGCCUGCACCAAAGGACACAAGCAGAAUGGGAAAAAUUACAUGCAGCAAUUAUGGUCUACAAGGCCACAGAUAUACAAACUAUGGGAAAGAUCUAAAACCUAGUCUUGAGAUGAGAAAGAACUUACACCAGCCUUUAAUACGUGUCCACCCACCGCUCACUCACCUACUCGCCGUCCGCACCGCCCACUCCACUUCCCCCUCUCUCCUGUUGAAACCACCACCGACAGCCACCCCCACCGCCGUCGCCAUGGACUGGCAGCUGGCCAUCGAAGAGCUCGCCGACAACAACUAG